GCCCCCAUAGCUCAGAUGGAUAGAGCACAGGCCUCCUAAGCCUGGCGGGCCCGUUCGAAUCGGGCUGGGGGCA
Candidatus Omnitrophica bacterium 4484_171 is the source of this 73-nucleotide non-coding RNA. The record is from Rfam. NCBI's taxonomy places the organism in Bacteria, Pseudomonadati, Candidatus Omnitrophota.